GGCAAGGGCAAGGUCCGAAGUCAGGCUUCCAGUUCUUUGGCCUGCCGGCCGGAUGUGGCCUGCUUUAUGAUUUUUGUUGAGCUCGGGAGCCGAGAACGGUUUUACAUUUUGUAACUGUUGAAAAAUACGAAGAGAUUAUUUUGUAACAAAAUUAUGUAAAAUUCUAACUUCAGCGUCCAUGAAGUUUUACUGGAACAUUUGUUAUGUCUGUCCAGGACUGCUGUGCAGAACAUCAGAGUUGAGCAAUUAUGAGAGACCGUGUGGCCCCCGAAGCCUGAAGCGUGUACUAUGUACCUGAACCUUCACAGUACGAAGCACAACAGAAAAGGGCCUCCUUCACCUGUUGGCGGAGACUUCCUAGUUCUCAAUCUUCAUGACUCCCCUUGCCGCCCUUGACGUAAGACAGAACCUCCGUAAGCAAGAAAUCCACAUACCUGUUUGCUUAUAUGCAAUGUGCAUUGAAUCCUGGUAACUGUGAUUACCCGGAGUAGGGGAGGAUAAGAGGAAUUGGGGAUAGGAAGAGGACUUGCUCUUCACUCAAGUGCUGUUUGAAUUCUGUCACAUACAUAUUACUUUGCAUUUUUUAUUUAAAAACAUUUCAAGCCUACUGAAGGGUGUUAGGAACACCUGUAAGUGUCCUGUACCCACCAACAAGUUCAUGCAUUCUACCUCCCUCCCACUCCAUUCUCCUCACCCCCACCCUGCAGACCUCUUCAACCACCCCCAGGAGUGAAGGAGACCUCAGAAUGCUUAACAUUCUCAGCAGGGGGCAGUGCUAACAACUGAUAGGUCAGAAGGCCAGUUGAAAGUUGGUUGCCAUCCCAUAGACUGUUGACCAGCAUGUGGACUUUUUAUUUUGCAAAUUUAGACUUACAAAAAAGUUGCCAGGAUAGCACCCUCUGCUCAGAUUCCCCUAAUGUUAACUAACCACGGUAGAAGGACCAAAGCCAGGGGAUUAACAAUGAUACAACACUGUUCACUCAUCUACUAACUUUAUUUGAAUUUUGCCAAAUGUCCCACUAGCAUCCUUUUCUGGUCUAGGACCCCGUUCAAACCCCACGCGGCAUCUAGUUGUCCUGUUCCCUUCCACUCCUACCUGGGACAAUCCUCCAUCUCUCCUUUCAGUGCAACGCUUUGGCCAGUUCUUUUGUAGGACAGAUCUCACUGUUUUCUCCUUACUAGAUUGAAGUCGUCAUGCAUUUUUGGCAAGAAUACCACAGAAGUGAUGUGCCCUUCUCAGGAUACGGUAUCAGGUGGUGUUGGUGUGGCUAGUACCGGUCAUAAUGAUUUUGAUCACUUGGUAAAAGUGGUGUCUCCCUGAGGUUUCUCUGCUAUAAAGUCACUGUUUUCCUUUGUAAUUAAUAAAUAUUCUGUGGGGAGAUGCUUUGUGACUAUAUAAAUAUCCUAUCCCCUUCAUACUUUUUCCCACUAAUUUAGUAUCCCUUGAGGAUUCUUGUUUGCAACAGUUACUGCCGUAGCUUUUACCAAAUAGUGAUUUUUCUAUUUCCACUGUUCUUUCUCCAUUAAUGGGAAUUCUGCUGUAAAAAGAAAUUGUCUCUUUCCCCCAUUUAUGUACCUCAGUCCAUUAUCUUUCUAUCGUUAUGGAUGGUCUCUUAGAUAUUACUAUUAUUUUGUGCUCCUAUGAUACCAGAGUUGGCUAUUGAGAGCUUGUCUGAGGUAGCCCCUGUGCUCUUUGACACACCGCCAUCAUUCCUGGAGCACUUCCUUACUGUCUGGCACAAGAUGUUCCAGGCCCAUCUGGUAAUUUUCCUCCCAGCCCAGGAGUCAACAGUUUCUCUAUGAGCCCUGGUUUGUUUUCGUGGAGAAUGGUAUUUAGAAAGUAGGGUCUAGGCACCAAUCAGAUUUAACUUGGUUGAAUGAGAAUGCCAAACUGGACUGGCCUUCAGAAGAGCUUGGGAAGGAGAGAGGCAAACUGUGUAGGGCAGAGAGGGGAGGUGAGAAGCUAAGACACAAACAGACACUGAGGUUGAGAGAGAGUGCAGAGCAGUGUGAGCCAAGGGAGGGAGGGCAGCGUGACUGUUCAGUCCUUGGCUGGGAGUACCCUUGGGAAGCAUAGCCUCCAUGCAAAUAUAAGGAAGGAUUCAGAAAAAAACCAUCAGCAAAACAAGAAAAGAAAACCUAUGGAAUGGGAGAAGAUAGUUGCAAAUGACAUAUCUGAUAAAGGAUUGAUAUUCAAAGUAUAUGAUGAACUUCUAUAACUCAACACCAAAAAACCCCGAAUAAUCAUUUAAAAUGUACAGAGGACUUGAACAGAUACUUCUCCACAGAAAAAAUACAGAUGACCAACAUCACUGAUCAUCAGGGAAAUGUAAAUUAAAACCACAAUGAGCUAUCACUUCACACCAUUUGAGAAUGGCUCAAAAACUCAAAAUGCAAGACUCAAAAACAUAAGAAAUCACAAAUGUUGGUGAGGAUGUGGAGAGAAGGGGACCUUGGUGCACUGUUGGUGGGAAUGCAAAUUGUGUAGCCAUUGUGGAAAACGGCAUGGAGGUUCCUGAAAAAAUGAAAAUAGUAUUACCAUCUGACCCAAUACCAUAUGAUCCGAAUACCCACUACUGGGUAUUUACCCAAAGAAAACAAUAACACUAACUCAGAAAUAUAUAUGCACCCCUAUCUUUAUUGUAGCAUUAUUGACAAUGUCCAAGAUGCACAAGCCACCCAAGUCAAUCCGUAGAUGAAUGGAUAAAGAAGAAGUGGUAUAUAUACAGCAGAAUAUUAUAAAAGAGAAUGACAUAAAAGAAUGGCACAAGAUGUUCCAGGAGCAUCUGGUAAUUUCAAGCCAUAAAAAAGAAUGAAAUCUUGCCAUUGAUGACAACAUGCAUGGAUCUAGAGGGUAUUAUGCUAAGUGAGGUAAGUUAAAUCCCAUAUGAUUGUACUUAUGUGCAGAAUCAAAAGAACAAAGAAAAUAGAUCCAUAGAUACAGGGAACAAACUAAUGGUUGCUGGGUAAGGGAGUGGGCAAACAUGAGUGAAGUGGGGUGGGGGAUAUAGACUUCCAGUUUGGGAAUGAGUAAGUCAUGGGAAUAAAAAGGGAUGCAUAGGGAAUGUCAUCAAUGGCAUUGUAACACGUUGUAUGGUAAUAGAUGGGAACUACGCUUGUGAGCAUACAUGUAGACUUAUGGAGUCACUAUUUUGUACAUCGGAAACUAAAGUCACACUGUGUAUCAACUAUACUUCAAUUAAAAAAACAAGGAGGAGCACCUGGGUAGCUCAGUAGCUUGAGCAUCCCACUCUUGAUUAGGGCUCAGGUCAGGAUCUGAGGUCUGUGAUGCAGCCCAGUGUCAGGAUCUGCACUCAGCAGGGAGUCUGCUGGAGAUUCUUGCUCUCCCUCUCCUUCUGCUUCUCUCCUCUUUCUAAAAUAAAUACAUCUUAAAAAGAAAAAAAUGCCUCACACCCUCCCCCCAAUCAAGGAACACUGGGCUGCAGGCAGAGCUUGUGCUGGGGUAUAUACCUGGGGCCUGAAGUUGGGAGGAAGAGGACUUACCAUUUUUAUCUUACAGUGUUUCCUUUUGUCAAACUGAAGAACAAUGGAAGGGACGCAGAUGACUAGUGCAGUGGGGUUCACCCAGCACAAACAGGUCUUUGCAUGGAGGGGCCAGUUGCUUUGCGGUUCCAAAUGCUGAGAUCCUUGGGGCUCAGAGGGAGUACAGCUAUCAAACUCCUCUGCUUGUUACCCACAGCAAGAAGUACAUCUUACAAUGUGUCCUAACAUAUAGAUACCUGUUCAACUUAUAUCAAUACCCACUCUUGUGAUGUAUGACACAAGCUGUUUUCCUAGGCAGGUUACUUCCCGCUAGUUUCAUUCCCUUACAUACUAACGAAUGGAUCUUAACCUACAGUUUGAAGAACACCCUCCAGGACAAACUCUUACUGUGCAGACAGGGUAACUGAGGCCUAAGAAGGGAAUGGAGUGUCCCAAAUGCUAUGGCUUUUCGAGAUGACCAUUUUACUUAAUGACCUUUCAAACAAUGCUACAUUUGUAUAGCUACUGGAGGGAAAUAGGUCUGGAUAAUGAGAGUGUGAAGAGCUAGAUGAAAUUAGGUUGAGGGUCUUGAACCAGAGACUUGCUGGCCUUAUUCCAUAGCCCCAAAUUCCUAAUGUUGGAGGCCUAAUGUUGGGCUCUUUGAAACUAAAUAAAUGUUUUAUCCUUCACAUGUCCCUUCAUGACUUACUCAGCAAAAGCUCUGGGAAGGUACUAGGCAGAGGCCCGCCUGCAGGAGGAAGGUGUGAGUGCCUUGCCCUCAGGGUGCUCCCGAGAGAGUGUCCUUGGGAGGCAGACAGACAAGCAGCCACAGAGGACCUUGCAGGAAGAGAUGUACAGGGUGGGGGUGGGGCACGUUGAGGAUUUGGGGCCUGGAGAGCAAAGUGUGAUGGAAAUGACAAGGAGGGGCUGGAGACACAGAAGCUUCAUGAUGGAGGCCUUGUCUGCCUGCCACCCAACAGAGUUUAAACUUCAUCCUGUGGGCAGUGGGGGCCGGUGAUGGUGCUCUGAGAAGAGGCGGUCACCUGGCCAGAUUUGUAUCCUUUACACUGACUCCUAUAGCCACAGGAAGCUGGUGGCCAUGACACUGCGGUACAUGGAAGCUACCCUGUGAGGUGACCCAGGUCUAGAAAAAGGAAGCUGGAGUUUGCAGUGAACAGCUGACAGCAAGAGCAGACCAUCUGAGGCAUGAAGGCAACUUUGCUACCCCCACCCCCACCCCAAGUAUAGAGACCAUGUGCGCUUUUCUAAAGACAUGGCCCUGACAUCAGAGAGACUUCUCAAACCCACUAUCCUGAGGGUCUGCCCUAGAGAAUCACACCAGCCGGAGCUCCAGAACUCAGUCCCUGAGCCCCUCUGUUGGGCUAGGCACUUGAGCACAAGGUGGAGUGUCACAGUGAAAAAGACAUGCAGUACUGUGCCGCGCGGACCUGGGUUCGACUCCUGCCUCUUCCACAUAAAAUUAGGUGACUUUAGGAAAGUUGGUUAACUUUGCCCUGGAUUAUGUAUAGUUUCCUCAUUGUCCAACAGGGAGCAGGGGGUAAGUGUGGAUGAGUUAAUGUGUUUGAAGUCUGCUAUAAAUCCCAAAUCCACUCUUGUAA
This is a long non-coding RNA of Canis lupus familiaris (dog), 5102 nucleotides long. RefSeq lists it as uncharacterized. NCBI's taxonomy places the organism in Eukaryota, Metazoa, Chordata, Mammalia, Carnivora, Canidae. The record is from RefSeq and is a predicted model, not a curated record. The transcript has 2 exons.